CUAGAAAAUACUGAGGCUUUUAUUCUGCUGGAGGACAUAUAAAUUGCCAUUCUGGAUUCCCCAGUGGUCCAGCUAGUCCUGCAUCAUGCCUGUAGGUAUUCCGAUUUGAGGGGACUUCUUUUUUACAGACAGCGGAAUAAUACUAAUUCAGGGAGCAACGUCUUUAGACAUUCCAUAAUCAGACUCAAGCAGGCAGAUUCUUGCACAUGGGUGGAGCCUGACUGACUUCAGUGGGACACUGGGCAGAGUAAAGGUCCAUUCAUGCUGUUCCACCUGCAUGAUCGGGACCCGGGUAUCUGCUAAGUGAAUAACAAACAGUCAAACUGUAAUAUCCUGCAGCAGAGCUGAGAACGGAGCUGGGUGGGAAAUGCGUUUCCUGGCCCACAGAUACUUUUUAAAGUUUGGAAUUUUUCCCAUCUUGAAUCAGGGCAAAAAUUCAAAAUCUUGAAACUAUUUGCAUGCCAAAAACCCAACUUUUUUUUUUUUUAAAUUUCAAAGUUUCAGGUCAAUUCCAAAAUGGUUUAUCUCAGUUUUGACUUUUUCUCUCUUUUU
Molecule: long non-coding RNA, 552 nt
Organism: Dermochelys coriacea (leatherback sea turtle)
Lineage: Eukaryota; Metazoa; Chordata; Testudines; Dermochelyidae
Exons: 2
Source: RefSeq, a predicted model, not a curated record